Molecule: ribosomal RNA, 468 nt
Filed under: uncultured bacterium
Lineage: Bacteria
Description: partial 16S ribosomal RNA
Rfam family: Bacterial small subunit ribosomal RNA
Source: RNAcentral
GAUGAACGCUGGCGGCGUGCUUAACACAUGCAAGUCGAACGGUGAAGGCGGAGCUUGCUCUGCUGGAUCAGUGGCGAACGGGUGAGUAACACGUGAGCAAUCUGCCCCUGACUCUGGGAUAAGCGCUGGAAACGGCGUCUAAUACUGGAUACGAGCUGCGAAGGCAUCUUCAGCAGCUGGAAAGAACUUCGGUCAGGGAUGAGCUCGCGGCCUAUCAGCUUGUUGGUGAGGUAACGGCUCACCAAGGCGUCGACAGGUAGCCGGCCUGAGAGGGUGACCGGCCACACUGGGACUGAGACACGGCCCAGACUCCUACGGGAGGCAGCAGUGGGGAAUAUUGCACAAUGGGCGAAAGCCUGAUGCAGCAACGCCGCGUGAGGGACGACGGCCUUCGGGUUGUAAACCUCUUUUAGCAGGGAAGAAGCGAAAGUGACGGUACCCGCAGAAAAAGCGCCGGCUAACUACGUG